GUCUAUUAUGAAGUUGUUAAUAGUCUGGCCUGCUCCCUGAUUAUAAAUUAAAGAGCCCGCGGUAAUUUGACCGUGCAAAGGUAGCAUAAUCAUUAGUUUCUUAAUUGGGAACUUGUAUGAAAGGUUUGACAAAGAAAAAGCUGUCUUUAUUAUAAAAAUUGAAUUUAACUUUUAAGUGAAAAGGCUUGAAUGAUUUAGAGGGACGAUAAGACCCUAUAAAGCUUUAUAUAAAAAAUAAUUAAGAUUGAAUUUACAAUAAUAUUCUGAAUUAAUUAUAUAUUUUGUUGGGGUGAUAUUAAUAAAAUUAAUAUUAACUGUUAAAAGAAGAUACAUAAAUAAAAGGGUUAAAACUGUUAGUGAUCCUUAUUUAAAGAUUAAAAGAUUAAGUUACUUUAGGGAUAACAGCGUAAUUUUUCUUAAGAGCCCAUAUCGAAAGAAAAGAUUUCGACCUCGAUGUUGAAUUAAGAUAUCUGUGUAGAGUAGCCGUUACAUAAGAAGGUCUGUUCGACCUUUAAAUUUUUACAUGAUUUGAGUUCAGACCGGCGUGAG
RNAcentral lists this ribosomal RNA (549 nucleotides) under Trapezia serenei. RNAcentral's name for it is "partial large subunit ribosomal RNA". It matches the Rfam family "Bacterial large subunit ribosomal RNA", at positions 1819 to 2625 of the family's 2925-position model. The record is from RNAcentral. Lineage: Eukaryota; Metazoa; Arthropoda; Malacostraca; Decapoda; Trapeziidae.